UACAGAGGUCUCAACCGUUGUUCGGAUUCAUUGGGCGUAAAGGGUGCGUAGGCGGUCGCGCAAGUCGGAUGUGAAAUCUCAGGGCUCAACCCUGAAACUGCAUUCGAUACUGCGUGGCUAGAGUGCUGGAGAGGAGACUGGAAUUUUACGGUGUAGCAGUGAAAAUGCGUAGAUAUCGUAAGGAAGACCAGUGGCGAAGGCGAGUCUCUGGACAGCAACUGACGCUGAGGCACGAAAGGCCCAGGGGGAGCAAAACGGGG
This 260-nucleotide ribosomal RNA is filed under the name uncultured bacterium. RNAcentral describes it as "partial 16S ribosomal RNA". It matches the Rfam family "Bacterial small subunit ribosomal RNA", at positions 524 to 778 of the family's 1533-position model. The record is from RNAcentral.